UACGGAGGGUGCGAGCGUUGUCCGGAAUCAUUGGGCGUAAAGGGCGCGUAGGUGGCCCGGUCAGUCUUUGGUGAAAGCGCGGGGCUCAACCCUGCGUCGGCCAGGGAUACUGCCGCGGCUCGAGCACUGUAGAGGCAGGCGGAAUUCCGGGUGUAGCGGUGGAAUGCGUAGAGAUCCGGAAGAACACCGGUGGCGAAGGCGGCCUGCUGGGCAGUAGCUGACGCUGAUGCGCGACAGCGUGGGGAGCAAACAGG
RNAcentral lists this ribosomal RNA (254 nucleotides) under uncultured bacterium. Its description in RNAcentral is "partial 16S ribosomal RNA". It matches the Rfam family "Bacterial small subunit ribosomal RNA", at positions 524 to 776 of the family's 1533-position model. The record is from RNAcentral.